Molecule: transfer RNA, 16 nt
Filed under: Subdoluseps bowringii (Christmas Island grass-skink)
Lineage: Eukaryota; Metazoa; Chordata; Lepidosauria; Squamata; Scincidae
Description: partial tRNA-Cys
Source: RNAcentral
AGCCUUGGCACACCUU